This 422-nucleotide ribosomal RNA is filed under the name uncultured bacterium. RNAcentral describes it as "bacterial SSU rRNA". It matches the Rfam family "Bacterial small subunit ribosomal RNA", at positions 355 to 774 of the family's 1533-position model. The record is from RNAcentral.
UAAGGAAUAUUGGACAAUGGAGGCAACUCUGAUCCAGCCAUGCCGCGUGAAGGAAUAAGGCCCUAUGGGUUGUAAACUUCUUUUAGACGGGACAAAACCCCUUUACGUGUAAAGGGUUGAUGGUACUGUCAGAAUAAGCAUCGGCUAACUUCGUGCCAGCAGCCGCGGUAAUACGAAGGAUGCAAGCGUUAUCCGGAAUUAUUGGGUUUAAAGGGUGCGUAGGCGGACUAAUAAGUCAGUGGUGAAAGCCUGCAGCUUAACUGCAGAAUUGCCAUUGAUACUGUUAGUCUUGAGUACAGUUGAGGUAGGCGGAAUGUGUCAUGUAGCGGUGAAAUGCUUAGAUAUGACACAGAACACCGAUUUCGAAGGCAGCUUGCUAAGCUGUAACUGACGCUGAGGCACGAAAGCGUGGGGAGCAAACA